GUUAUGUGCGCGUAUCCGAGACCAAUUUCUUUGAAUAUUUCAUUCCUUUUCAGGUGCCGAAAAGCAACUGUUCACACCUUUAAACAGAUCGACUGCUAACUGGAUGGACAUAAUCGGCUUCACACAACAUCGUAGUCAACGAAGCGAAACGAAGGGUAACAAUACCCUGUUCUCCACAAUCACCUGAUGGGUUGAACACGGAACUUCAGAUUGGUACACGAAAAAUGAGUAACUUUUGCAUGAGAGCCUAGAGAGAAACACGAAACUUUCGAAUUGUGUUAAGGUACCAAGAAUGAGGGAGAUUUAAGUUGCAACAUACCGUCUAGUUUCAGCGGAUGAAUAAGUUGGUAUAAGCUGCGCUAAAUCAACAAUCUUCUUGGAAAAAUAAAUACUCUUCUCGUUUAUAACCAAACGGCGCCCUUCUUUGUGCUGCGGGAACUAAGGAAGCAGAGGAUCGAGUUUCAUACUUCUCCUAUUUUUUUUUUUCUCUCUUGUUUUGGCAGGAUCAGUAGAGUCAAAGGCAGGCCUGACUUUCUGAUAAUUUAAAAUCUUCCUUGUUGGUUAAUUAUGUGUAUAUUUUGUUGAGUUUUUUUCUUCUCAUUUCACAGGCACACCGUUUCACAUACAAAAGCACUCCUUCUAGAUGAAAAAUGAAAUUUU
Molecule: long non-coding RNA, 660 nt
Organism: Daphnia magna
Lineage: Eukaryota; Metazoa; Arthropoda; Branchiopoda; Diplostraca; Daphniidae
Exons: 2
Source: RefSeq, a predicted model, not a curated record